AGAUUGAACUGAAGAGUUUGAUCCUGGCUCAGAUUGAACGCUGGCGGCAUGCCUUACACAUGCAAGUCGAACGGCAGCACGGG
Molecule: ribosomal RNA, 83 nt
Filed under: Hyphomicrobiales bacterium
Lineage: Bacteria; Pseudomonadati; Pseudomonadota; Alphaproteobacteria; Hyphomicrobiales
Description: Rhizobiales bacterium partial 16S ribosomal RNA
Rfam family: Bacterial small subunit ribosomal RNA
Source: RNAcentral